Molecule: ribosomal RNA, 403 nt
Filed under: uncultured bacterium
Lineage: Bacteria
Description: bacterial SSU rRNA
Rfam family: Bacterial small subunit ribosomal RNA
Source: RNAcentral
UGGGGAAUCUUCCGCAAUGGACGAAAGUCUGACGGAGCAACGCCGCGUGGGUGACGAAGGUUUUCGGAUCGUAAAACCCUGUCAAGAAGGAAGAAAAAAGACGGUACUUCUGAAGGAAGCCCCGGCUAACUACGUGCCAGCAGCCGCGGUAGUACGGAGGGUCCGAGCGUUAUCCGGAUUUAUUGGGUUUAAAGGGAGCGUAGGCGGAUUGAUAAGUCAGUUGUGAAAGUUUGCGGCUCAACCGUAAAAUUGCAGUUGAUACUGUCAGUCUUGAGUACAGUAGAGGUAAGCGGAACUCGUGGUGUAGCGGUGAAAUGCGUAGAUAUCGAGAGGAACACUCGUGGCGAAGGCGGGUUUCUGGACAUUAGCUGACGCUGAGGUACGAAGGCCAGGGUAGCGAAAG